UACGUAGGGUGCAAGCGUUAAUCGGAAUUACUGGGCGUAAAGCGUGCGCAGGCGGUUGUGCAAGACAGAUGUGAAAUCCCCGGGCUCAACCUGGGAAUUGCAUUUGUGACUGUACGGCUAGAGUGUGUCAGAGGGGGGUAGAAUUCCACGUGUAGCAGUGAAAUGCGUAGAGAUGUGGAGGAAUACCGAUGGCGAAGGCAGCCCCCUGGGAUAACACUGACGCUCAUGCACGAAAGCGUGGGGAGCAAACAGG
Molecule: ribosomal RNA, 253 nt
Filed under: uncultured bacterium
Lineage: Bacteria
Description: partial 16S ribosomal RNA
Rfam family: Bacterial small subunit ribosomal RNA
Source: RNAcentral